UGAAACGACUGCUAAGACUGGAUAGGAGACAAGAGGGCAUCUUCUUGUUUUUAAAAGACCUAGCAAUAGGUAUGCUUAGGGAGGAGCUUGCGUCACAUUAGUUAGUUGGUGGGGUAAAGGCCUACCAAGACUAUGAUGUGUAGCCGGGCUGAGAGGUUGAACGGCCACAUUGGGACUGAGACACGGCCCAAACUCCUACGGGAGGCAGCAGUAGGGAAUUUUCGGCAAUGGAGGAAACUCUGACCGAGCAACGCCGCGUGAACGAUGAAGUAUUUCGGUACGUAAAGUUCUUUUAUUAGGGAAGAAUAAAUGAUGGAAAAAUCAUUCUGACGGUACCUAAUGAAUAAGCCCCGGCUAACUAUGUGCCAGCAGCCGCGGUAAUACAUAGGGGGCAAGCGUUAUCCGGAAUUAUUGGGCGUAAAGGGUGCGUAGGCGGUUAAAUAAGUUUAUGGUCUAAGUGCAAUGCUCAACAUUGUGAUGCUAUAAAAACUGUUUAGCUAGAGUAAGAUAGAGGCAAGUGGAAUUCCAUGUGUAGUGGUAAAAUGCGUAAAUAUAUGGAGGAACACCAGUAGCGAAGGCGGCUUGCUGGGUCUUUACUGACGCUGAGGCACGAAAGCGUGGGGAGCAAACAGGAUUAGAUACCCUGGUAGUCCACGCCGUAAACGAUGAGUACUAAACGUUGGGUAAAACCAGUGUUGAAGUUAACACAUUAAGUACUCCGCCUGAGUAGUACGUACGCAAGUAUGAAACUUAAAGGAAUUGACGGGACUCCGCACAAGCGGUGGAUCAUGUUGUUUAAUUCGAAGGUACCCGAAAAACCUCACCAGGUCUUGACAUGCUUCUGCAAAGCUGUAGAAACACAGUGGAGGUUAUCAGUUGCACAGGUGGUGCAUGGUUGUCGUCAGCUCGUGUCGUGAGAUGUUGGGUUAAGUCCCGCAACGAGCGCAACCCUUAUUGUUAGUUACCAGCACGUAAUGGUGGGGACUUUAKCAAGACUGCCAGUGAUAAAUUGGAGGAAGGUGGGGACGACGUCAAAUCAUCAUGCCCCUUAUGACCUGGGCUACAAACGUGAUACAAUGGCUGUUACAAAGGGUAGCUGAAGCGCAAGUUUUUGGCGAAUCUCAAAAAAACAGUCUCAGUUCGGAUUGAAGUCUGCAACUCGACUUCAUGAAGUUGGAAUCGCUAGUAAUCGCGAAUCAGCAUGUCGCGGUGAAUACGUUCUCGGGGUU
This 1229-nucleotide ribosomal RNA is filed under the name 'Stevia rebaudiana' phytoplasma. RNAcentral describes it as "bacterial SSU rRNA". It matches the Rfam family "Bacterial small subunit ribosomal RNA", at positions 152 to 1381 of the family's 1533-position model. The record is from RNAcentral. Lineage: Bacteria; Bacillati; Mycoplasmatota; Mollicutes; Acholeplasmatales; Acholeplasmataceae.